UACGGAGGAUCCAAGCGUUAUCCGGAUUCAUUGGGUUUAAAGGGUGCGUAGGCGGAAUAGUAAGUCAGUGGUGAAAGCCUGUUGCUUAACAACAGAACUGCCAUUGAUACUGCUAAUCUUGAGUACAUUUGAAGUGGGCGGAAUGUGUCAUGUAGCGGUGAAAUGCUUAGAUAUGACACAGAACACCGAUUGCGAAGGCAGCUCACUAAACUGUUACUGACGCUGAGGCACGAAAGCGUGGGGAUCAAACAGG
RNAcentral lists this ribosomal RNA (253 nucleotides) under uncultured bacterium. RNAcentral describes it as "partial 16S ribosomal RNA". It matches the Rfam family "Bacterial small subunit ribosomal RNA", at positions 524 to 776 of the family's 1533-position model. The record is from RNAcentral.